RNAcentral lists this long non-coding RNA (783 nucleotides) under Astyanax mexicanus (Mexican tetra). RNAcentral describes it as "lncRNA (ENSAMXG00005005502.1)". The record is from RNAcentral. Lineage: Eukaryota; Metazoa; Chordata; Actinopteri; Characiformes; Acestrorhamphidae.
GCAGCGCUGCUGGAGCUCAGUGCUGAAGGUCUGAUUAAUGUGGGCUGAUUUCUUCCAGGAAACACUCGUAAGGAGACGAUCAUCGCGAUGCAGAAGAUGGGUUAUCAGUCGGACCAUAUUAAAGUGUGGAAACGAGCCCAAGAGAAGGGAGUGGAGGAAGAGUCCGAAGAGGAUGAUGAGGAAGAGGAAGAAGGAGGUUCAGGACCGGACUACAACUACCUGCUGAACAUGCCCGUGUGGUUCCUCACCUCAGAGAAGAAGGAGGAGCUCUGGAGGCAGAGGGAUGAGAAGGUAUCAGCAGGGCGAGAGUGAUGGAGUCGUUUCAGCAGAUCUUUCAUUUCUACAACUUUUACUCUGCUUGUUCUGCUGUAGAUCACAGAGCUGAAGGUGCUGCAGAGGAAGGAGGCUUCAGAUCUGUGGAGGGAGGAUCUCGCUGCCUUCACAGAGGAGCUGGAGGUAAAGCUGCACCUGCAGGAGGUUCUUCAGUUAGUCUGAGAACGUCUCUCUGAUCUUCUCCUCUACUGGAGGUUUCUACAACUUUAGAACUGGCCUGAUCUGCUGAUCUCUGAUCUGUAGCGAGUGGAGCAGGAGCAGGAGGAGUCCCAGCUCACACUGACCCAGGUUCAGGGGAAAGAGGGCGGAGCCGAGGAGGUAAAGAGGAAGAACCGGACCUGGCCUACGCCUCAGGAAUGUGUCACCGGGGUGCGUUUAAUACAGAUUUAUAAGAGUUUAAUGAUUUAUCUUAUCAAUAAACACAUUAUUAGAUUAAAUAUUGAAUAGGGU